AUGAACGCUAGCGGCAGGCCUAACACAUGCAAGUCGAGGGGCAGCACAGGUAGCAAUACUGGGUGGCGACCGGCGGAUGGGUGCGUAACGCGUAUGCAACCUACCAUUGAUUGGGGCAUAGCCCGAAGAAAUUCGGAUUAAUACUCCAUAAUAUUCAUCAAAGGCAUCUUUUAUGAAUUAAAGCUUUUGCGAUCAAUGAUGGGCAUGCGUGACAUUAGUUAGUUGGUGAGGUAACGGCUCACCAAAACGAUGAUGUCUAGGGGUUCUGAGAGGAUUAUCCCCCACACUGGUACUGAGACACGGACCAGACUCCUACGGGAGGCAGCAGUGAGGAGUAUUGGUCAAUGGACGCAAGUCUGAACCAGCCAUGCCGCGUGCAGGAUGACGGCCCUAUGGGUUGUAAACUGCUUUUCCACGGGAAGAACCCUCCGACGUGUCGGAGACUGACGGUACCGUGGGAAUAAGCAUCGGCUAACUCCGUG
RNAcentral lists this ribosomal RNA (482 nucleotides) under uncultured bacterium. RNAcentral describes it as "bacterial SSU rRNA". It matches the Rfam family "Bacterial small subunit ribosomal RNA", at positions 29 to 507 of the family's 1533-position model. The record is from RNAcentral.